AGAGCCCUACCGUGUGCGUGGUCAAACUGGCGGUGUUAUGAGCCAACACCGAAUACUGGGGAGCCCAAGCUCUGAAGGUGGCGCCAAUGCCCUGGCGAAGGGACUGGCAAAGCCUUCAGGCGGGCACCCACCUGCUAGAGCAGGUUCAGUAACAGCCAGUCUUAACGGCACGGUGGGGACUGU
This 183-nucleotide non-coding RNA is filed under the name Bacillota bacterium. RNAcentral's name for it is "Firmicutes bacterium (anaerobic digester metagenome) 6S RNA". It matches the Rfam family "6S / SsrS RNA". From Rfam's summary of the family: E. coli 6S RNA was the first non coding RNA to be sequenced, but its function was unknown until recently. RNAcentral also lists the same sequence under 1 other name. Lineage: Bacteria; Bacillati; Bacillota. The record is from RNAcentral.